CAGGCCUAACACAUGCAAGUCGAGCGGAGCACUUCGGUGCUUAGCGGCGGACGGGUGAGUAACACGUAGGCAACCUGCCUAUAAGACUGGGAUAACUAUCGGAAACGAUAGCUAAGACCGGAUAACUGUUUUUCUCGCAUGAGAGAAUCAUGAAACACGGAGCAAUCUGUGGCUUAUAGAUGGGCCUGCGGCGCAUUAGCUAGUUGGUAGGGUAACGGCCUACCAAGGCGACGAUGCGUAGCCGACCUGAGAGGGUGAACGGCCACACUGGGACUGAGACACGGCCCAGACUCCUACGGGAGGCAGCAGUAGGGAAUCUUCCGCAAUGGACGCAAGUCUGACGGAGCAACGCCGCGUGAGUGAUGAAGGUUUUCGGAUCGUAAAGCUCUGUUGCCCUAGACGAACAGCAAGGCGAGUAACUGCGCUUUGUGUGACGGUAUAGGAGAAGAAAGCCCCGGCUAACUACGUGCCAGCAGCCGCGGUAAU
RNAcentral lists this ribosomal RNA (486 nucleotides) under uncultured bacterium. Its description in RNAcentral is "bacterial SSU rRNA". It matches the Rfam family "Bacterial small subunit ribosomal RNA", at positions 43 to 524 of the family's 1533-position model. The record is from RNAcentral.